UAUAAUAAGGAUCUUAACCUCAUCCCCAAAAGGCUCACCAAGCUCACUUAUAAAAAGUCUAUUUUUUUUUCUCUCCUCACCAUUUAAACGCGAACAACUUCAGACCUCUCAUCUCUCGCUCUCUUCUAAAGCUCUCCUCUCAAGCUCUCCCGACCUCACUUCUCACGAUCGAACUUCAGAUUGGGUAGAUUCUCUCCCUUCUCACCCCCUGCUCACGUGGUCGUCCCAAAUCCCAAAACGAGGGUUAGCCCUAAUUUUUUGCCCCAAAUCAGAAAACGAUGGUUCGCCCUAAUCUUGUUGGGAGAUUCACGUGACAAAAUCCCAAAACGAGAGUUUGCCCUGAUUUUUACCCCUCAAAAGCAUCAUACGCAAGUUCGUAUUUUAUCUCUCUUUCAAUUAUCCACAGAAAUUGUGUAUUGCUAUUUAAAAAUACUUCAAUUAGCUAUCAUUCAUGUAGAUGUUGUUUGUAAAAAUGCUAGUUGAAGGCCGACUUUGCACUCUUUUAGUGUCAUGAUAGUAGUUUCUUCAACAGGCCAUAUUUUUAUCAAAUGGUUGCGUGUAUUGCUAUUUAAAAAUAUUUUAAAUAUUGAUUUGAUUAUAGACAUCAAAGAGUGGAUUACUUUGUGAUUCAAAUCAGAAGUUAGUUUUAUGCAUGUUAUAUAUGGCCAUAAAACAUGUAUGAACCCGCUUACAAAACUGUUGCAUAUAAGGUGUUUGAUAAAUUGCCUCUUAGAGGUUGUCAAGCAUAAAUAGGUGAAUUUGAUUAAGUUUAGGAUCAAAGAAGCCUUUACGCAUGUUAUGUGAAGAAAUUUAAGUUGUUUGGGUUAAAUCAAAUUGGGUUUAGAACCUGUUUUGGGACUGAUGAUCAUAUGCCUUUACGCAUGUUAGGUGAAGUAAUUUAAGUUGUUUGUGUUAAACGAAAUUGGGUUUAGAACCUGUUUUGGGUGUGUAAAAGGUGUGCAUAGAUUUUCUCGUAGACAAAGUUGCAUCCUUUAAUUUUUUACCACUGUCCACUUUAGUUGCAUCCUUUAAUUUUUACACAUUUUAAUAAAGUUGGAAUAUUGUGUAUAUAACAUUGUGCAUAUCUGUAUUAUAAGUUUCCGUUUCUUGCGUGCUCUAUUUACAUAGUUGGAACAAAUUUACUCUAGUAAAAUGACUGGAAUUGGACCUGACAACUACCAUGUUUGUAGGUGACAAGGAACUAUGGUGCAUUAAGAAGGUGAAAGAUCAUUGACACAUCCCUUGUUCAGAUGCUGGCCAACCUUGUGUUUUUAAAAUCAUGCCAGUUCGUAAUCACUGGAAUGGAGCAAGAGAUGGAGAAUUUGUUUGUUGUAACCUUAUCCAAGAAUUUGUUGUAUCCUUAUUCAAAAAUUUGUUUUGUAAGCAUCUGUAAGGAUUUAUUAUACUUAUUAGACUUGUAAUUUAUUAUACUUAUUGGACUUGCAAAGAGAUUUACCAAAAUUCAGUUAUCCUGCAUUUAUUCUAAGAAAAUUUGUCUUGCUUAGAGAACCUUGUAGUUAAAUAGUGAAGACAUCUAAUAGCUACAACUGGUCAAAAAUUGGAUGAGCUUGGUUUUGGUUUCACAUACUUUUUGAGAGAACUUUUCUCAAUAUGUCAUUGUUACUGGGAGAUGAGAUCCAGUUUGUGAUUUUACUGAGAGAACUUUUUCAAUAUGUCAUUAUUAUAAGAACCAUUAGGAAUCCAGUUUGUGAUUUUAUUGAAC
This 1723-nucleotide long non-coding RNA is filed under the name Panax ginseng (ginseng). RNAcentral's name for it is "long non-coding RNA (PGIN_LNC005480)". The record is from RNAcentral. Lineage: Eukaryota; Viridiplantae; Streptophyta; Magnoliopsida; Apiales; Araliaceae.